RNAcentral lists this ribosomal RNA (406 nucleotides) under uncultured bacterium. Its description in RNAcentral is "partial 16S ribosomal RNA". It matches the Rfam family "Bacterial small subunit ribosomal RNA", at positions 30 to 526 of the family's 1533-position model. The record is from RNAcentral.
AUUGAACGCUGGCGGCAUGCCUUACACAUGCAAGUCGGACGAGUGGCGAACGGGUGAGUAAUAUAUCGGAACGUACCGAGUAAUGGGGGAUAACUAAUCGAAACAUUAGCUAAUACCGCAUACUAUUCGAGCGGCCGAUAUCUGAUUAGCUAGUUGGGGGGGUAAAGGCCUACCAAGGCGACGAUCAGUAGCGGGUCUGAGAGGAUGAUCAGCCACACUGGAACUGAGACACGGCCCAGACUCCUACGGGAGGCAGCAGUGGGGAAUAUUGGACAAUGGGCGCAAGCCUGAUGCAGCCAUGCCGCGUGUCUGAAGAAGGCCUUCGGGUUGUAAAGGACUUUUAUCAGGGAAGCGGUACCUGAAGAAUAAGCACCGGCUAACUACGUGCCAGCAGCCGCGGUAAUAC